RNAcentral lists this ribosomal RNA (439 nucleotides) under uncultured bacterium. RNAcentral describes it as "bacterial SSU rRNA". It matches the Rfam family "Bacterial small subunit ribosomal RNA", at positions 959 to 1397 of the family's 1533-position model. The record is from RNAcentral.
ACGCGCGGAACCUUACCAGGUCUUGACAUCUGAAUGACCGGUGCAGAGAUGUACCUUUCCUUCGGGACAUUCAAGACAGGUGGUGCAUGGUUGUCGUCAGCUCGUGUCGUGAGAUGUUGGGUUAAGUCCCGCAACGAGCGCAACCCUUGAUCUUAGUUGCCAGCAGGUUAAGCUGGGCACUCUAAGGUGACUGCCGGUGACAAACCGGAGGAAGGUGGGGAUGACGUCAAAUCAUCAUGCCCCUUAUGACCUGGGCUACACACGUACUACAAUGGCCAGUACAACGGGAAGCGAAGCCGCGAGGUGGAGCCAAUCCUAAAAAGCUGGUCUCAGUUCGGAUUGCAGGCUGCAACUCGCCUGCAUGAAGUCGGAAUUGCUAGUAAUCGCGGAUCAGCAUGCCGCGGUGAAUACGUUCCCGGGUCUUGCACUCACCGCCCGU